This 101-nucleotide ribosomal RNA is filed under the name Diagramma pictum (painted sweetlips). Its description in RNAcentral is "Diagramma picta (painted sweetlips) partial 16S rRNA". Lineage: Eukaryota; Metazoa; Chordata; Actinopteri; Lutjaniformes; Haemulidae. The record is from RNAcentral.
CGUGCCCAACAGCUAGCCCAAUAAUUAAAAUCAACAAAUACCCAUUAAUAACCCCUAAAACACUACACCGCGCCAAACAAACCAUUUUUCCCCCUUAGUAU